AGAGUUUGAUCCUGGCUCAGAUUGAACGCUGGCGGCAUGCCUUACACAUGCAAGUCGAACGGUAACAGGUCUUCGGAUGCUGACGAGUGGCGAACGGGUGAGUAAUACAUCGGAACGUGCCCGAGAGUGGGGGAUAACGGAGCGAAAGCUUUGCUAAUACCGCAUACGAUCUACGGAUGAAAGCAGGGGACCGCAAGGCCUUGCGCUCAUGGAGCGGCCGAUGGCAGAUUAGGUAGUUGGUGGGAUAAAAGCUUACCAAGCCGACGAUCUGUAGCUGGUCUGAGAGGACGACCAGCCACACUGGGACUGAGACACGGCCCAGACUCCUACGGGAGGCAGCAGUGGGGAAUUUUGGACAAUGGGCGCAAGCCUGAUCCAGCCAUGCCGCGUGCAGGAUGAAGGCCUUCGGGUUGUAAACUGCUUUUGUACGGAACGAAAAGACUCUGGAUA
RNAcentral lists this ribosomal RNA (450 nucleotides) under uncultured bacterium. Its description in RNAcentral is "bacterial SSU rRNA". It matches the Rfam family "Bacterial small subunit ribosomal RNA", at positions 8 to 462 of the family's 1533-position model. The record is from RNAcentral.